RNAcentral lists this transfer RNA (76 nucleotides) under unidentified. RNAcentral describes it as "Shigella phage B2 tRNA-Cys". The record is from RNAcentral.
UCGACUCCUCAAUCUUCCGCCAAUAUUUGAUAGGAUAGCUAACUCGGUAAAGCGGCAGACUGUUAAUCUGCGACAU